This 305-nucleotide ribosomal RNA is filed under the name Bacillus sp. DV28. RNAcentral describes it as "bacterial SSU rRNA". It matches the Rfam family "Bacterial small subunit ribosomal RNA", at positions 45 to 353 of the family's 1533-position model. The record is from RNAcentral. Lineage: Bacteria; Bacillati; Bacillota; Bacilli; Caryophanales; Bacillaceae.
AUGCCUAACACAUGCAAGUCGAACGAGAUCUUCGGAUCUAGUGGCGCACGGGUGAGUAACACGUGGGCAACCUGCCUGUAAGACUGGGAUAACUUCGGGAAACCGAAGCUAAUACCGGAUAGGAUCUUCUCCUUCAUGGGAGAUGAUUGAAAGAUGGUUUCGGCUAUCACUUACAGAUGGGCCCGCGGUGCAUUAGCUAGUUGGUGAGGUAACGGCUCACCAAGGCAACGAUGCAUAGCCGACCUGAGAGGGUGAUCGGCCACACUGGGACUGAGACACGGCCCAGACUCCUACGGGAGGCAGCA